RNAcentral lists this ribosomal RNA (449 nucleotides) under uncultured bacterium. Its description in RNAcentral is "partial 16S ribosomal RNA". It matches the Rfam family "Bacterial small subunit ribosomal RNA", at positions 29 to 523 of the family's 1533-position model. The record is from RNAcentral.
AACGAACGCUGGCGGCAGGCCUAACACAUGCAAGUCGAACGCUCUAGCAAUAGAGAGUGGCAGACGGGUGAGUAACGCGUGGGAAACUUCCUAGGGGUACGGAAUAGCUCAGGGAAACUUGGGGUAAUACCGUAUGAUGCCGUAAGGCCAAAGAUUUAUCGCCCUUAGAUGUGCCCGCGUCGGAUUAGCUAGUUGGUGAGGUAAUGGCUCACCAAGGCGACGAUCCGUAGCUGGUCUGAGAGAAUGACCAGCCACACUGGGAAUGAGACACGGCCCAGACUCCUUCGGGAGGCAGCAGUGGGGAAUCUUGGACAAUGGGCGCAAGCCUGAUCCAGCCAUGCCGCGUGAGUGACGAAGGCCUUAGGGUUGUAAAGCUCUUUUGCCGGGGACGAUAAUGACGGUACCCGGAGAAUAAGUCCCGGCUAACUUCGUGCCAGCCGCCGCAGUAA